UCAAGCUACAAAGGGCGCAAGGAGAAUGCCUUGGCACUGGGAGCCGAUGAAAGACGUGGUAAGCUGCGAUAAGCUUCGGGGAGGAGCAAACAUCCUUUGAUCCGGAGAUUUCUGAAUGAGGAAACUCACCAGAGUUCAUACUCUGGUAUCCUGUACUGAAUUCAUAGGUACAGGAGGGGAACCGCCUGAACUGAAACAUCUAAGUAGGGCGAGGAAGAGACAUCAAACGAGAUUCCGUAAGUAGUGGCGAGCGAACGCGGAAGAGGGCAAACCGAGAGUAGAAAUACUUUCGGGGUACGGAGCGCAUUUAGGACUUAAGUUGUUAACCGAACGGCAUGGGAAGGCCGGUCAGAGAGUGUGAGAACCACGUAGGUGAAAACGGAGAGAGCUGCGCAGGAUCCAGAGUACGGCCAGACACGUGAAACCUGGUCGGAAUACGGGGGGACCACCCUCCAACCCUAAAUACUACCCAGUGACCGAUAGCGUAUAGUACUGUGAAGGAAAGGUGAAAAGCACCCCGGGAGGGGAGUGAAAAAGAACCUGAAACCCUGUGCCUACAAGCACCUAGAGCACGUCAAUGUGUGAUAGGGUACUUUUUGUAGAACGGUCCGGCGAGCGAUUGUAUGCAGCAAGGUUAAGGACUUAAGGUCUGGAGCCGAAGCGAAAGCGAGUUUGAAAAGGGCGUUAAGUUGCAUAUAAUGGGCCCGAAACCGGGUGACCUACCCAUGGUCAGGUUGAAGUGGAAGUAAAAUUCCAUGGAGGACCGAACCGACCUCCGUUGAAAAGGCGGCGGAUGAACUGUGGGUAGCGGAGAAAUUCCAAUCGAACCCGGAGAUAGCUGGUUCUCCCCGAAAUAGUUUUAGGACUAGCCUCAAGUUAGAUACCUGGAGGUAAAGCACUGAAUAGCCUAGCGGCCGAGAGGUUAGCGAAGCUUAUCAAACUCAGAAUGCCAGAGUAUUGAUGCUUGGGAGUCAGACAGUGUCAGAUAAAUGUCAUUGUCAAAAGGGAAACAGCCCAGAUCUACAGCUAAGGUCCCAAAGUCAGGUUAAGUGGAAAACGAUGUGAAGAUACGCAGACAACCAGGAUGUUGGCUCAGAAGCAGCCACUCAUUCAAAGAGUGCGUAAUAGCUCACUGGUCGAGCGUCUUUGCGCGGAGAAUUUAACGGGGCUAAACCUGACACCGAAGCUUAGGCAAUACAGCAAUGUAUUGGGUAGGGGAGCGUUGUAUACGCGGUGAAACAGUAGCGCAAGCGGCUGUGGAGUGUAUAGAAGUGAGAAUGCCGGAAUGAGUAGCGCGAAUGCAGUGAGAAUCUGCAUGGCCGAAAGCCUCAGGUUUCUGGAGGAAGGUUCGUCCGCUCCAGGUUAGUCGGGAGCUAAGGUGAGGCCUAACGGCGUAGCCGAUGCACAGACGGUAGAGAUUCCGUCACCACCAAAAGAGUUAAGCACAGGGACACAUUUGAAGUCUCAGAGCCGGGUGUUGGUUCCGGUAGAGAUCGAGGGAAAUUAGUACCGAAGUCUGAGAUGGAAGAUGGCGAGAAAAGCUGUGUGUAUUUCUGAGGUGCCCGUACCGCAAACCGACACAGGUAGGUAGGAAGAAGAUUCUAAGGCCAACGGGAGAAGGGUUGUUAAGGAACUCGGCAAAUUGACCCCGUAACUUCGGGAGAAGGGGUGCUCCAGAGAUGGAGCCGCAGAGAAUCGGCCCAAGCAACUGUUUACCAAAAACACAGGUUUGUGCUAAAUCGAAAGAUGACGUAUACGAGCUGACGCCUGCCCGGUGCUGGAAGGUUAAAAGGAGAUGUGCAAGCAUUGAAUUGAAGCCCCAGUGAACGGCGGCCGUAACUAUAACGGUCCUAAGGUAGCGAAAUUCCUUGUCAGGUAAG
Molecule: ribosomal RNA, 1880 nt
Filed under: human gut metagenome
Description: bacterial LSU rRNA
Rfam family: Bacterial large subunit ribosomal RNA
Source: RNAcentral